Molecule: unclassified non-coding RNA, 358 nt
Filed under: uncultured fungus
Lineage: Eukaryota; Fungi
Description: partial contains 5.8S ribosomal RNA and internal transcribed spacer 2
Rfam family: 5.8S ribosomal RNA (bases 1-133)
Source: RNAcentral
UGGUUCUGGCAUCGAUGAAGAACGCAGCGAAAUGCGAUAAGUAAUGUGAAUUGCAGAAUUCAGUGAAUCAUCGAAUCUUUGAACGCAUAUUGCGCCCGCCAGUAUUCUGGCGGGCAUGCCUGUUCGAGCGUCAUCUCAACCCUCAGGCCUCCGGGUCUGGUGUUGGGGCUGCUCUGCGGCGGACACGCCGCAGGCCCCGAAGGACAGUGGCGGGCCCGCUGGACACCCGAGCGUAGUAGUUACCUCUCGCUGAGGGCGCCCCGGCGGGGACCCGGCCGUAAAACCGGACACUACGGGGCCUCCCCCCGCGUGCCACCACCACAACGUUGACCUCGGAUCAGGUAGGAAUACCCGCUGA